Long non-coding RNA from Micropterus dolomieu (smallmouth bass), 2147 nucleotides. RefSeq lists it as uncharacterized. Lineage: Eukaryota; Metazoa; Chordata; Actinopteri; Centrarchiformes; Centrarchidae. The record is from RefSeq and is a predicted model, not a curated record. The transcript has 3 exons.
CAAAAACAAACAAGAAGAGGAUAGAGGGACUCAAGUAAGUUACAGCAAACUACUGGACACUGAAAUCAGUAAGUUUUUGCAUUUAUUACUAUAAAACAUGUCCCAACUGCAACACUCAAGCUAAUAGCUAACAAGCUAACACGGCAGCAAUGGCAUCAAACAGCAGUAGUGCUGUUUUAAACACAGAACACAGAAGCUUGAAGAUCAACAACUGUUUCAUGAUGUCUACACACUCUGAAACCAUUGACUACCCCCCAGCUAUCAAAAGCAAAACUGCAAGAGGAAAAUAUAAACAAACAAUACUCAGAGAAAGACCAGGAAUCCUGUUCCUGGACCACUAUGGAAGAUCCUGCAAUUUAAUCUUCUGGACUGAUGAACCAUAUGCUUGGCUGAAUGUGUUCAGCUCUCAUUACCCAACAAUAAAGAGAGCAGGUAUUUGUAAUGGAUGGAAAAUAAGUGUACUGGAAGAAAAUGACUCUGACACCAGCAGAAUAACAGUAAACCUGUCCAAAAAUGGAACUGCCAUGAUACAAGGCGACCUGAGACCGAUUGAGCUCAACUUUCCUGCUAUGAGACAGAGCUGAGAAGGAGGUCCUCGCAAGCAUCGCUCCAACCCUGGGAGUCAAACCGUCCUGUUCUGUCCCUGCUCCAGACAGACAGCCUGCAGAUACUGACACUGAUCCUCUCCUGCUACAGCACUCUGAGGCCCUGGACAUCAUGAGAGAGCACUUCUCCCUGAUGGAAAUAGAACUGGUACAGAUCAGAGAGCAGCUGGACCAACAGCAGCCUACCUCUCCUACUGUCAGUGACUUCAAGGCCAAGAAAGAACAGGACAGUGUCAACUCACAGCUGAGUUUCAACAAGAACUAAAACUAACUCGUCAGAGAAGACAGCUGGAUCAUCUCAGUGAGGAGGUGAAGGAACUUAGGAAGGACAGAAACAACUGCAAAACUGAGUUGGCUACUCUGAGAGAAGAGCUACAAGACAGGGACAGGCUCAGUCUACAAGCCAGACUGAACUCCACACAACCCCCUGUACCUGCCUCGCAGAUCCAGACCACAUCCAGCCAAACUCCCACUACACCUGCUGAAAGACAACACAGCCCUUUCCUCGAGGACCCCCCCCUCUCACGCAGCCUGGUGCAGACUCUAAUCCCCCCCCCUGUACCAACCAGCUGCCUCCAUACAAACAUCCCAAGCCAAGACGCCAGUCACAACCCUGCACCUGUCCAAGGGCCGGCCUCUAGCCAGCCUCCAGCUAGGAGCUCCAGACCUGAAACCACCACCACAGCUCCACAUCCAGACCCGACAGCUGAUAAUGAACAAACACACACAGACAGAAGGGCUGACAUUAUCCUCCUCAUGGACUCUAAUGGAAAGUUCCAGGAUGAAAAGACCUUAUUUCCAAGGCACAGAACGGAGAAGAUCUGGAGCUGUUAACAGUGCCUGAGCUAGGCUCACCUAGCCACAUCAUCAUCCAUUCAGGCACCAAUGACUUCAGGUCCCAGCAGGACAGACUGGCAGACUCUCUGAGGAGAGUCAUUGAGCAAGCCUCCACCAAUUUCCCUACAUAUCCACGCUGCUGCACUGGAGAGACUUCCACCCCCACACCAUUCAGAUGAAGUCGCAGACAUCAGCCCAAGGAUCGGUACGUGAUGUCAUCGUGACACGCAAGUGCUUCUGCAGGCUACACAUACAGGGCCGUGUGUGGCGGUGGCGUCAUUUAGAAUUAGAAUCAGAAUUAGAAUCAGCUUUAUUACCAGGUUAAGAAGUAAGCCUCAAAGUGAACCAGAAUGGACAAUACCAGGCUCCUGGAACAGAUAAACCUACAGCCAAAAUCUAUGUUAUUAGUUAUAGCUGCUGUUAUAUUGUUUUCCUGUGAUAAUGGUCUAUUAUUUUAUGAUUACCUGCAACUGUAACAAAAUGUUUUUUUUUAUUUUAUUGUGUUAUACUAUUAUAUGAGGGUCGCUGCAGAAUGUUUAUUAUACAGAUUGCAGUCAAAAAAGAGGGACAGGUGGUAAGUUUUGGAACAAAUCUUUAGAAUUUUAUUCCACAUACUGCACUUCAGGUGUCUGCAUUUGAAUCACAUCUAUCACAAACAAAAAAUGCCCCAGGGUACAAAUAAAUACACUUUUCAGUGAACAGAGA